UGGGGAAUAUUGCGCAAUGGGGGGAACCCUGACGCAGCCAUGCCGCGUGAAUGAAGAAGGCCUUCGGGUUGUAAAGUUCUUUCGGUGAUGAGGAAGGCAAACUGUUUAAUAGACAGUUUGAUUGACGUUAAUCACAGAAGAAGCACCGGCUAACUCCGUGCCAGCAGCCGCGGUAAUACGGAGGGUGCGAGCGUUAAUCGGAAUAACUGGGCGUAAAGGGCACGCAGGCGGACUUUUAAGUGAGGUGUGAAAUCCCCGGGCUUAACCUGGGAAUUGCAUUUCAGACUGGGGGUCUAGAGUAUUUUAGGGAGGGGUAGAAUUCCACGUGUAGCGGUGAAAUGCGUAGAGAUGUGGAGGAAUACCGAAGGCGAAGGCAGCCCCUUGGGGAGAUACUGACGCUCAUGUGCGAAAGCGUGGGGAGCAAACAGG
RNAcentral lists this ribosomal RNA (429 nucleotides) under uncultured bacterium. RNAcentral describes it as "bacterial SSU rRNA". It matches the Rfam family "Bacterial small subunit ribosomal RNA", at positions 355 to 776 of the family's 1533-position model. The record is from RNAcentral.